Molecule: long non-coding RNA, 129 nt
Organism: Cotesia glomerata
Lineage: Eukaryota; Metazoa; Arthropoda; Insecta; Hymenoptera; Braconidae
Exons: 3
Source: RefSeq, a predicted model, not a curated record
GAAAAAAUCUCAGUUUUGGCUCUUUUAAGAGCCCUCUUCAAAGAACAGCUCAAAAAAAAUUUUUAAGAGGUGGCUCCAAAUUUUUUUAAAUUUCAAAAAUCUAAAUUUUUUUUUUCUAUUUUUUUUCUC